Molecule: long non-coding RNA, 209 nt
Organism: Jaculus jaculus (lesser Egyptian jerboa)
Lineage: Eukaryota; Metazoa; Chordata; Mammalia; Rodentia; Dipodidae
Exons: 2
Source: RefSeq, a predicted model, not a curated record
CAGGGCGGUGUCUUCGAUGUCCGUGUUCGGCCCGGUCCCGGGCAUCAGGGACAAGCUGACGGAGGACGCCGGCGCCGUUGCCGGGAACCUACCUGUCGCCAUGGCAACGGAGAAGCACGAAGAGGAGGAGGAGGAGGCGGCGGGGGACGUGCUGACCGUGCAGGAAGUGGGCGCCGCCGCCGCCGCGCAAUAAACAUGUGCCGGGGGAA